Molecule: microRNA, 20 nt
Filed under: Oryctolagus cuniculus (rabbit)
Lineage: Eukaryota; Metazoa; Chordata; Mammalia; Lagomorpha; Leporidae
Description: ocu-miR-654-3p
Gene: ocu-miR-654-3p
Source: miRBase by way of RNAcentral
UAUGUCUGCCGACCGUCACC